AAAACCCUCAAACGCGUGAAACCUCCACAUGGAAACUGUACAGAUGGCGUGACAAAAGCAACUCAAGGAAGAGUCUACACUCACUCACAGAUCCUUUGUCGGAAAUUGUGCCUGGAAGCGGCCUACAGAUCGCGCUGCAAAUGCUUUCAGGGAAUCAGUCCUGUUUACGAUCUCUUGGGAAACGUCUCUUUGAAUCAAUGUUCGCCUUUCAAUGUGACUCAGAGUCUAUGCGUGGAAGAGAUCCUAUUUUACAACAGUCAGCAAGAAUGCACUCAUUGCAAACCUGCUUGCAAAGAAGCCAAGUAUUUACCACAAGUGACGUUCAGUGUUGCCAACAAAAAGUUCUGGACGGUCGUGCAAAACAUCAAAAUGCAAGGGGCAGGC
Long non-coding RNA from Penaeus chinensis, 384 nucleotides. RefSeq lists it as uncharacterized. The transcript has 4 exons. The record is from RefSeq and is a predicted model, not a curated record. NCBI's taxonomy places the organism in Eukaryota, Metazoa, Arthropoda, Malacostraca, Decapoda, Penaeidae.